Molecule: unclassified non-coding RNA, 294 nt
Filed under: uncultured fungus
Lineage: Eukaryota; Fungi
Description: sequence contains ITS1
Source: RNAcentral
UGGACUACCAGGGUUUCUAAUCCUGUUCGCUACCCACGCUUUCGUCCAUCAGCGUCAAUAUAUUAGUAGUAACCUGCCUUCGCAAUUGGUAUUCCAUGUAAUCUCUAAGCAUUUCACCGCUACACUACAUAUUCUAGUUACUUCCUAAUAAUUCAAGUCUAGCAGUACCAAUGGCCGUUCCACCGUUGAGCGAUGGGCUUUCACCACUGACUUACUAAACCGCCUACGGACCCUUUAAACCCAAUGAUUCCGGAUAACGCUUGCACCCUCCGUAUUACCGCGGCGGCUGGCACC